CGCUUCUUUCCUCCCGAGUGCUUGCACUCAAUUGGAAAGAGGAGUGGCGGACGGGUGAGUAACACGUGGGUAACCUACCCAUCAGAGGGGGAUAACACUUGGAAACAGGUGCUAAUACCGCAUAACAGUUUAUGCCGCAUGGCAUAAGAGUGAAAGGCGCUUUCGGGUGUCGCUGAUGGAUGGACCCGCGGUGCAUUAGCUAGUUGGUGAGGUAACGGCUCACCAAGGCCACGAUGCAUAGCCGACCUGAGAGGGUGAUCGGCCACACUGGGACUGAGACACGGCCCAGACUCCUACGGGAGGCAGCAGUAGGGAAUCUUCGGCAAUGGACGAAAGUCUGACCGAGCAACGCCGCGUGAGUGAAGAAGGUUUUCGGAUCGUAAAACUCUGUUGUUAGAGAAGAACAAGGACGUUAGUAACUGAACGUCCCCUGACGGUAUCUAACCAGAAAGCCACGGCUAACUACGUGCCAGCAGCCGCGG
RNAcentral lists this ribosomal RNA (482 nucleotides) under Enterococcus faecalis. RNAcentral describes it as "bacterial SSU rRNA". It matches the Rfam family "Bacterial small subunit ribosomal RNA", at positions 67 to 520 of the family's 1533-position model. Lineage: Bacteria; Bacillati; Bacillota; Bacilli; Lactobacillales; Enterococcaceae. The record is from RNAcentral.